UAGGGAAUCUUCCACAAUGGACGAAAGUCUGGUGGAGCAACGCCGCGUGAGUGAAGAAGGGUUUCGGCUCGUAAAACUCUGUUGUUAAAGAAGAACAUAUCUGAGAGUAACUGUUCAGGUAUUGACGGUAUUUAACCAGAAAGCCACGGCUAACUACGUGCUAG
RNAcentral lists this ribosomal RNA (164 nucleotides) under uncultured bacterium. Its description in RNAcentral is "partial 16S ribosomal RNA". It matches the Rfam family "Bacterial small subunit ribosomal RNA", at positions 355 to 511 of the family's 1533-position model. The record is from RNAcentral.